GACGGUGGGGGAGGAACGGGGCCGGGGGCCUGGCCGUGGAGAUGGCAGAGCCGGGAGGAGCCCAGAAAUGCUUCCCUCAGCUCCCUUGGGGGAGGGAGGGGGCUUCUGUCUGAGGAAGCUGGACUGGGACUGGGGACUCCAAGCCAGCCCUGGGCCCCAGGGGCCAGACAGGCCCUUCCGGCUGCAGGGCCUUUGCACUUGCUGCCCCUUCUGCCUGAGGCGCCCCUCCCGCAGAUGGCUCCCCUCUGAGCCCCUUUGGACCCUCCCCGACACUGGACCUCUGUGACACCACCCCGCCCAAAGACUCAGGAUUCCAUUCGGGGCCGCGGGGAGCUGGCUUCUGAUGGAGGUGGUCCAGGCAGGACCUCUGCUGUCCCUUUUGGGGCCCUUCCUCUGGCCCCGGGGGGCAGUUUGACCCAUUUAGCACCGUCCCACACUGUGACGUGGAGACUGACCUCGCCACACUUUGCAGAUUCUCGCGGAGCACGGAGGCUGGCUCCUGCCGUCUCCUGUUGGGGAAGGGCUCUCUGCACCUGCUCUACGGGCCAGGAAACCAGAGCUCAGGGAGAAUUUCUUGGCUACAAAGAGGCAGGCUUCAAACCGAGCUCUGACCUGGAGACGCCCACUUCCACAGCAAUCUCUUCUGCAGGCCUCGGGCACAGAGGGCUCUGGGGACCCUCCUCUUCUCAUCCCGGCCCUGCUCGUGACCGACUGUGCGUGGUUGACUGAUCGUGUUCACCCCAUCCCGCCCCUUCUUGGGAUGCGCUCUGAUGGGUGCUCAGUGCGCACCUUUUGUAUUAGUUACUUUUCAGAAUGCAUACUGUGUUUUGUUGCACUUACCUUAAAAGUUUUUUUAAUACAAUUUUAAAGGUUGUACUCCAUUUACAGUCAUUACAAGAUACUGACUCUACUCCCCGUGUUGUGCACUAUAUCCUUGUAGUCAAUCUUACCCCCAAUAGUUUGUACCUCCCAAUCCCCCAUCCCCACAUUACCUCUCCCCCCACUGGUAACCGCCAGUUUGUUCUCUAUAUCCGUGUGUCUGCUUCUUUUUUCUUAUAUUCACCAGUUUGUUGUA
Molecule: long non-coding RNA, 1075 nt
Organism: Lagenorhynchus albirostris (white-beaked dolphin)
Lineage: Eukaryota; Metazoa; Chordata; Mammalia; Artiodactyla; Delphinidae
Exons: 3
Source: RefSeq, a predicted model, not a curated record